Molecule: transfer RNA, 69 nt
Filed under: Marmota monax (woodchuck)
Lineage: Eukaryota; Metazoa; Chordata; Mammalia; Rodentia; Sciuridae
Description: tRNA.Val
Source: RNAcentral
GCAGGUGUGGCUCAGUGGCAAAAUGCAUGCCUCACAGGCAAGACCCUGGGUUCAACCCCCAGUACCACA